RNAcentral lists this ribosomal RNA (464 nucleotides) under uncultured bacterium. RNAcentral's name for it is "bacterial SSU rRNA". It matches the Rfam family "Bacterial small subunit ribosomal RNA", at positions 28 to 507 of the family's 1533-position model. The record is from RNAcentral.
GACGAACGCUGGCGGCGUGCCUAACACAUGCAAGUCGAGCGAGGAGAGUUCCUUCGGGAACAAACCUAGCGGCGGACGGGUGAGUAACACGUGGGCAACCUGCCUUGUAGAGGGAAUAGCCUUCCGAAAAGGAAGAUUAAUACCGCAUAACAUUACAGUUUCGCAUGAAACAGUAAUUAAAGGAGCAAUCCGCUACAAGAUGGGCCCGCGGCGCAUUAGCUAGUUGGUGAGGUAACGGCUCACCAAGGCGACGAUGCGUAGCCGACCUGAGAGGGUGAUCGGCCACAUUGGGACUGAGACACGGCCCAGACUCCUACGGGAGGCAGCAGUGGGGAAUAUUGCACAAUGGGGGAAACCCUGGUGCAGCAACGCCGCGUGAGUGAUGAAGGUUUUCGGAUCGUAAAGCUCUGUCUUCGGGGACGAUAAUGACGGUACCCGAGGAGGAAGCCACGGCUAACUACGUG